This 508-nucleotide ribosomal RNA is filed under the name uncultured Planctomycetota bacterium. RNAcentral's name for it is "bacterial SSU rRNA". It matches the Rfam family "Bacterial small subunit ribosomal RNA", at positions 1001 to 1503 of the family's 1533-position model. Lineage: Bacteria; Pseudomonadati; Planctomycetota. The record is from RNAcentral.
CGUGAAGCGGAGUAGGCCCUUCGGGGUACAACUAGUACAGGUGCUGCAUGGCUGUCGUCAGCUCGUGUCGUGAGAUGUCGGGUUAAGUCCCUUAACGAGCGAAACCUUUGCCCUUAGUUACCAGCGGGUUAUGCCGGGGACUCUAAGGGGACUGCCGGUGUCAAACCGGAGGAAGGUGGAGAUGACGUCAAGUCCUCAUGGCCUUUAUGCCCAGGGCCACACACGUGCUACAAUGGCGUCCACAAAGCGAACCGAGAGCGCAAGCUGGAGGAAAUCGCACAAAUGACGCCCCAGUUCAGAUCGGAGGCUGCAACUCGCCUCCGUGAAGUCGGAAUCGCUAGUAAUCGCGGAUCAGCAUGUCGCGGUGAAUACGUUCCCGGGUCUUGUACACACCGCCCGUCACACCAUGGGAGUGGGUUCCACCAGAAGUAGGUAGCCUAACCUGCAAAGGGGGGCGCUUACCACGGUGGGAUUCAUGACUGGGGUGAAGUCGUAACAAGGUAACCGU